This 488-nucleotide ribosomal RNA is filed under the name uncultured bacterium. RNAcentral's name for it is "partial 16S ribosomal RNA". It matches the Rfam family "Bacterial small subunit ribosomal RNA", at positions 28 to 507 of the family's 1533-position model. The record is from RNAcentral.
GACGAACGCUGGCGGCGUGCUUAACACAUGCAAGUCGAACGGAAAGGCCCUGCUUUUGUGGGGUGCUCGAGUGGCGAACGGGUGAGUAACACGUGAGUAACCUGCCCUUGACUUUGGGAUAACUUCAGGAAACUGGGGCUAAUACCGGAUAGGAGCUCCUGCUGCAUGGUGGGGGUUGGAAAGUUUCGGCGGUUGGGGAUGGACUCGCGGCUUAUCAGCUUGUUGGUGGGGUAGUGGCUUACCAAGGCUUUGACGGGUAGCCGGCCUGAGAGGGUGACCGGCCACAGGGGAACGGAGACACGGGCGAGAGGCCUACGGGAGGCAGCAGUAGGGAAUGGGCGGCAAUGGGCGGAAGCCGGACGGAGCAACGCCGCGUGAGUGAUGAAGGUCUGCGGAUCGGAAAACUCGGGUAUGAGGGAAGAACAAAUGUGUAAGUAACUAGGCACGUCGUGACGGUACCUAAUAAGAAAGCCACGGCUAACUACGUG